Molecule: ribosomal RNA, 467 nt
Filed under: uncultured bacterium
Lineage: Bacteria
Description: partial 16S ribosomal RNA
Rfam family: Bacterial small subunit ribosomal RNA
Source: RNAcentral
GACGAACGCUGGCGCCGUGCUUAACACAUGCAAGUCGAGCGAGAAACUUCGGUUUCUAGCGGCGGACGGGUGAGUAACACGUGGGCAACCUGCCUCACAAUGGGGGAUAGCCUUCCGAAAGGAAGAUUAAUACCGCAUAACACAAAGGAAACGCAUGUUUCUUUUGCCAAAGAAUUUCGUUGUGAGAUGGGCCCGCGGCGCAUUAGCUUGUUGGUGAGGUAACGGCUCACCAAGGCGACGAUGCGUAGCCGACCUGAGAGGGUGAUCGGCCACAUUGGAACUGAUGCACGGUCCAGAGUCCUACGGGAGGCAGCAGUGGGGAAUAUUGCACAAUGGAGGAAACUCUGAUGCAGCAACGCCGCGUGAGUGAUGAAGGUCUUCGGAUUGUAAAGCUCUGUCUUCUGGGACGAUAAUGACGGUACCAGAGGAGGAAGCCACGGCUAACUACGUGCCAGCCGCCGCAGUAA